AGCAGCAGCCACGGUAAUACAGAGGGUGCGAGCGUUAAUCGGAUUUACUGGGCGUAAAGCGUGCGUAGGCGGCUUUUUAAGUCGGAUGUGAAAUCCCUGAGCUUAACUUAGGAAUUGCAUUUGAUACUGGGAAGCUAGAGUAUGGGAGAGGAUGGUAGAAUUCCAGGUGUAGCGGUGAAAUGCGUAGAGAUCUGGAGGAAUACCGAUGGCGAAGGCAGCCAUCUGGCCUAAUACUGACGCUGAGGUACGAAAGCAUGGGGAGCAAACAGGAUUAGAUACCCCCGUAGUCCCUGUCUCUUAUAC
This 303-nucleotide ribosomal RNA is filed under the name uncultured bacterium. RNAcentral's name for it is "partial 16S ribosomal RNA". It matches the Rfam family "Bacterial small subunit ribosomal RNA", at positions 507 to 807 of the family's 1533-position model. The record is from RNAcentral.